RNAcentral lists this long non-coding RNA (215 nucleotides) under Sinocyclocheilus grahami. RNAcentral's name for it is "lncRNA (ENSSGRG00000009482.1)". The record is from RNAcentral. Lineage: Eukaryota; Metazoa; Chordata; Actinopteri; Cypriniformes; Cyprinidae.
UCUGGGUUUGAAUUUCAUUAAUCAGGAAAUGGUCUCAGGUUACUUCUCAUUGACUUGGUCUCUCUUACAGGCCAGCGGGUGGUGUAGCAUGUCAGCCAUGCACUGGGAGGCCCGUCGCCGUCAGCAGGUGCUGGACCGCAGAUUAUCUGCUAGCGUUAUGCAGGCAGGCAACCAAGAUAAAAAGAAAGAAGAGUCUAUGGCACCUAUGACACCCU